GAUGAACGCUGGCGGCGUGCCUAAUACAUGCCAGUCGAGCGAACGGACGAGAAGCUUGCUUCUCUGAUGUUAGCGGCGGACGGGUGAGUAACACGUGGAUAACCUACCUAUAAGACUGGGAUAACUUCGGGAAACCGGAGCUAAUACCGGAUGAUAUUUUGAACCGCAUGGUUCAAAAGUGAAAGACGGUCUUGCUGUCACUUAUAGAUGGAUCCGCGCUGCAUUAGCUAGUUGGUAAGGUAACGGCUUACCAAGGCAACGAUGCAUAGCCGACCUGAGAGGGUGAUCGGCCACACUGGAACUGAGACACGGUCCAGACUCCUACGGGAGGCAGCAGUAGGGAAUCUUCCGCAAUGGGCGAAAGCCUGACGGAGCAACCCCGCGUGAGUGAUGAAGGUCUUCGGAUCGUAAAACUCUGUUAUUAGGGAAGAACAUAUGUGUAAGUAACUGUGCACAUCUUGACGGUAUCUAAUCAGAAAGCCACGGCUAACUACGUG
Molecule: ribosomal RNA, 497 nt
Filed under: uncultured bacterium
Lineage: Bacteria
Description: partial 16S ribosomal RNA
Rfam family: Bacterial small subunit ribosomal RNA
Source: RNAcentral